UACAUUUAUGACUCUCUUAUUUUGCAUUUUAAACCAGUGCAGCUGUCCACCUGCUGAAGAAGUCCAAGAACUUGAAAGAGACUUGUAAAAGCUAAUGGAGAAUGUUGGUCAGCAAUUCGACUGAUUUGCUGGKAGGUGCUGGCGAAGCAGGAUAAUGGACCUUCAUAAAUCUUUGCUGGAGAAAGACUACCCUUCUGCCUUGUCAUAAUGUGGUGAUACAUGCGUACAAAGCUGCUGUUUGUUCUUCUCUUUGAAAGAGCUGAAGAUUUAUCUUGAGGAAUCCUUGAUUGACUGGGAAAACUUCCAAAAUGUUUUGCAAGAGCAACUCGAGAUUUGGUAUAAUGCAUCAAAGGGAAUGAAGGGCAGCUAUGGAUCCCCAUCCCUUUCGGUAACUGAGUACAAUACCACCACUACAGAAGAACACGUUGACUACUUCUGA
This 439-nucleotide long non-coding RNA is filed under the name Dromaius novaehollandiae (emu). Its description in RNAcentral is "lncRNA (ENSDNVG00000001421.1)". Lineage: Eukaryota; Metazoa; Chordata; Aves; Casuariiformes; Dromaiidae. The record is from RNAcentral.